CCCUUAGACGUUCUGGGCCGCACGCGCGCUACACUGACCAGUGCAACAAGCAUCCGUCCUUGGCCGACAGGCCCGGGCAAUCUUUGAACGCUGGUCGUGAUGGGGAUAGACUUUUGCAAUUUUUGGUCUUCAACGAGGAAUUCCUAGUAAACGCAAGUCAUCAACUUGCAUUGAUUACGUCCCUGCCCUUUGUACACACCGCCCGUCGCAUCUACCGAUUGAAUGGUCCGGUGAAGCCUCCGGAUUGGCGCGCACCUCGGUGCCGCCGAGAAGUUGGCUAAACCUUACCAUUUAGAGGAAGGAGAAGUCGUANCA
RNAcentral lists this ribosomal RNA (315 nucleotides) under uncultured eukaryote. RNAcentral's name for it is "partial 18S ribosomal RNA". It matches the Rfam family "Eukaryotic small subunit ribosomal RNA", at positions 1470 to 1796 of the family's 1831-position model. The record is from RNAcentral.